RNAcentral lists this ribosomal RNA (496 nucleotides) under uncultured bacterium. RNAcentral describes it as "partial 16S ribosomal RNA". It matches the Rfam family "Bacterial small subunit ribosomal RNA", at positions 28 to 506 of the family's 1533-position model. The record is from RNAcentral.
GAUGAACGCUGGCGGCGUGCCUAAUACAUGCAAGUCGAGCGAACAGACGAGGAGCUUGCUCCUCUGACGUUAGCGGCGGACGGGUGAGUAACACGUGGAUAACCUACCUAUAAGACUGGGAUAACUUCGGGAAACCGGAGCUAAUACCGGAUAAUAUAUUGAACCGCAUGGUUCAAUAGUGAAAGACGGUUUUGCUGUCACUUAUAGAUGGAUCCGCGCCGCAUUAGCUAGUUGGUAAGGUAACGGCUUACCAAGGCAACGAUGCGUAGCCGACCUGAGAGGGUGAUCGGCCACACUGGAACUGAGACACGGUCCAGACUCCGACGGGAGGCAGCAGUAGGGAAUCUUCCGCAAUGGGCGAAAGCUUGACGGAGCAACGCCGCGUGAGUGAUGAAGGUCUUCGGAUCGUAAAACUCUGUUAUUAGGGAAGAACAAAUGUGUAAGUAACUAUGCACGUCUUGACGGUACCUAAUCAGAAAGCCACGGCGAACUACGU